UACCUACAGAAAAUACUUUACAUGCACUUGUAACACCUCUUUGUGUAGUAUUUCCUUUUAAAUUGUUUAAAUGGUCGAUAAUAAACAAUAGGAUGCCGUACAAGUUUGGGAUUCAUUACUGUAUACAAGGAUCAAAAAUAGGCUGUUCAAAAUAGCUAGACUCAUCUAUCAUCUAUUCAAUCCAUUAGCGUAGUCCAACUAUCAUCGUUGCAGAAACUCGAUUAGGUCGCGUGAUACCAGCGCUACUUAAACCUUGAUUUUCUCUUCUAUUAAAUGUGGGACUUGACCUGUGGUCUGAUAAUACGCUCAUUCCAGAACCAGUUCGUGAUGAUGUCCCACUAUUACUCCUUCUUGAGCCUAUAUAUAGGUGGUGCAGGCCCUCUGGUAGAACUAUUCAUAUUCAAUGGAUCAAAUGGUUGACGAUUACUACUAGUAUAACCAGCUCCUCUGACUGCAGUCAUUGGCCUUAGUCCACUAGUAUUAGGACGCACUGGUAUACCAGUACCACUUCUGUGAAACUACAAAUAUUAAAUUGCAUAUUAAAACAAUAUUAUGAAAUACAAUACAAGAUAA
Molecule: long non-coding RNA, 573 nt
Organism: Bombus huntii
Lineage: Eukaryota; Metazoa; Arthropoda; Insecta; Hymenoptera; Apidae
Exons: 3
Source: RefSeq, a predicted model, not a curated record